UCCGGAAGCCGGAGAGCUGGAGCUUUGAAGCCACCCCGGUCAAAGGAUGCUGAGUCCGGAGCGCCUAGCCCUACCGGACUACGAGUAUCUGGCUCAGCGACAUGUCCUCACCUACAUGGAGGAUGCAGUGUGCCAGCUGCUAGAGAACAGGGAAGAUAUUAGCCAAUAUGGAAUUGCCAGGUUCUUCACUGAAUAUUUUAACAGUGUAUGCCAGGGAACACACAUUCUCUUUCGAGAAUUCAGCUUCGUCCAAGCCACCCCCCACAAUAGGGUAUCAUUUUUACGGGCCUUCUGGAGAUGCUUCCGAACUGUGGGCAAAAAUGGCGAUUUGCUGACCAUGAAAGAAUAUCACUGUUUGCUGCAAUUACUGUGUCCUGAUUUCCCGCUGGAGCUCACUCAGAAAGCAGCCAGGUACGUCUCCUGGACUCUUGAAACCAACUCAGCUCUCUGUGGGCCACUGCUUCCUAGAGAAACCUGAAGUGUAUACAAAUGAAAAAAAGGAGCAUUUAGGGAAGAAACUGGCAGUGGGAGAGGGGUCUAUUUGGGAUGUGCCCCAAAACAUAAUACAUUCUGCAUUUCUAAAGGGAAGCGAAAUGAUCCUUUGUGGUUUCUGUGGGGAGCCUCAGGGUCUGAAGAUAGAGUUGGAGGGUGGUGAGAUGAAGAGGCAGAAAAAGCCCAAACCCCUCCAAUCCCCCCCACACACACACCCUAGAGGAUA
RNAcentral lists this small RNA (718 nucleotides) under Pongo abelii (Sumatran orangutan). Its description in RNAcentral is "retained intron". Lineage: Eukaryota; Metazoa; Chordata; Mammalia; Primates; Hominidae. The record is from RNAcentral.